GAGUUUGAUCCUGGCUCAGGAUGAACGCUGGCGGUAUGCCUAACACAUGCAAUCGAACGAAAUCUUCGGAUUUAGUGGCGGACGGGUGAGUAACGCGUGAGAAUCUGCCUUAGGACGGGGACAACAGUUGGAAACGACUGCUAAGACCCGAUGUGCCGAGAGGUGAAAUAUUAUAGCCUGAAGAGGAGCUCGCGUCUGAUUAGCUAGUUGGUAGUGUAAGGGACUACCAGGCAACGAUCAGUAGCUGGUCUGAGAGGAUGAGCAGCCACACUGGGACUGAGACACGGCCAGACUCCUACGGGAGGCAGCAGUGGGGAAUUUUCCGCAAUGGGCGAAAGCCUGACGGACAAUACCGCGUGAGGGAGGAAGGAUUUUGGUUCGUAAACCUCUUUUAUUAGGGAAGAAAAAAUGACGGUACCUAAUGAAUAAGCACCGGCUAACUCCGUGCCAGCAGCCGCGGUAAU
Molecule: ribosomal RNA, 464 nt
Filed under: uncultured Chroococcales cyanobacterium
Lineage: Bacteria; Bacillati; Cyanobacteriota; Cyanophyceae; Chroococcales
Description: bacterial SSU rRNA
Rfam family: Bacterial small subunit ribosomal RNA
Source: RNAcentral